UCAUUACUCAGCGCAUAUUGUGAC
This 24-nucleotide non-coding RNA is filed under the name Arabidopsis thaliana (thale cress). Lineage: Eukaryota; Viridiplantae; Streptophyta; Magnoliopsida; Brassicales; Brassicaceae. The record is from RNAcentral.